RNAcentral lists this ribosomal RNA (1386 nucleotides) under Escherichia coli. RNAcentral describes it as "partial 23S ribosomal RNA". It matches the Rfam family "Bacterial large subunit ribosomal RNA", at positions 1581 to 2925 of the family's 2925-position model. The record is from RNAcentral. Lineage: Bacteria; Pseudomonadati; Pseudomonadota; Gammaproteobacteria; Enterobacterales; Enterobacteriaceae.
GGUGCUGAAGCAACAAAUGCCCUGCUUCCAGGAAAAGCCUCUAAGCAUCAGGUAACAUCAAAUCGUACCCCAAACCGACACAGGUGGUCAGGUAGAGAAUACCAAGGCGCUUGAGAGAACUCGGGUGAAGGAACUAGGCAAAAUGGUGCCGUAACUUCGGGAGAAGGCACGCUGAUAUGUAGGUGAAGUCCCUCGCGGAUGGAGCUGAAAUCAGUCGAAGAUACCAGCUGGCUGCAACUGUUUAUUAAAAACACAGCACUGUGCAAACACGAAAGUGGACGUAUACGGUGUGACGCCUGCCCGGUGCCGGAAGGUUAAUUGAUGGGGUCAGCGCAAGCGAAGCUCUUGAUCGAAGCCCCGGUAAACGGCGGCCGUAACUAUAACGGUCCUAAGGUAGCGAAAUUCCUUGUCGGGUAAGUUCCGACCUGCACGAAUGGCGUAAUGAUGGCCAGGCUGUCUCCACCCGAGACUCAGUGAAAUUGAACUCGCUGUGAAGAUGCAGUGUACCCGCGGCAAGACGGAAAGACCCCGUGAACCUUUACUAUAGCUUGACACUGAACAUUGAGCCUUGAUGUGUAGGAUAGGUGGGAGGCUUUGAAGUGUGGACGCCAGUCUGCAUGGAGCCGACCUUGAAAUACCACCCUUUAAUGUUUGAUGUUCUAACGUGGACCCGUGAUCCGGGUUGCGGACAGUGUCUGGUGGGUAGUUUGACUGGGGCGGUCUCCUCCUAAAGAGUAACGGAGGAGCACGAAGGUUGGCUAAUCCUGGUCGGACAUCAGGAGGUUAGUGCAAUGGCAUAAGCCAGCUUGACUGCGAGCGUGACGGCGCGAGCAGGUGCGAAAGCAGGUCAUAGUGAUCCGGUGGUUCUGAAUGGAAGGGCCAUCGCUCAACGGAUAAAAGGUACUCCGGGGAUAACAGGCUGAUACCGCCCAAGAGUUCAUAUCGACGGCGGUGUUUGGCACCUCGAUGUCGGCUCAUCACAUCCUGGGGCUGAAGUAGGUCCCAAGGGUAUGGCUGUUCGCCAUUUAAAGUGGUACGCGAGCUGGGUUUAGAACGUCGUGAGACAGUUCGGUCCCUAUCUGCCGUGGGCGCUGGAGAACUGAGGGGGGCUGCUCCUAGUACGAGAGGACCGGAGUGGACGCAUCACUGGUGUUCGGGUUGUCAUGCCAAUGGCACUGCCCGGUAGCUAAAUGCGGAAGAGAUAAGUGCUGAAAGCAUCUAAGCACGAAACUUGCCCCGAGAUGAGUUCUCCCUGACCCUUUAAGGGUCCUGAAGGAACGUUGAAGACGACGACGUUGAUAGGCCGGGUGUGUAAGCGCAGCGAUGCGUUGAGCUAACCGGUACUAAUGAACCGUGAGGCUUAACCUUACAACGCCGAAGGUGUUU